Molecule: non-coding RNA, 91 nt
Filed under: Yersinia mollaretii
Lineage: Bacteria; Pseudomonadati; Pseudomonadota; Gammaproteobacteria; Enterobacterales; Yersiniaceae
Description: Yersinia sRNA 224
Rfam family: Yersinia sRNA 224
Source: RNAcentral
GCGCACGUUACGGUAAGAACAGGCAGAUCGUAAAGACGCCGUAAAUCCGUCCCUGGGGCUCGAGCCGCGCCAUCCCUGGCGCGGACGCUUU